Molecule: small nuclear RNA, 19 nt
Filed under: Arabidopsis thaliana (thale cress)
Lineage: Eukaryota; Viridiplantae; Streptophyta; Magnoliopsida; Brassicales; Brassicaceae
Description: snRNA_14790
Source: RNAcentral
AUGGAACGAUUCGAAUCUG